UACGUAGGCAGCAAGCGUUGUUCGGAGUUACUGGGCGUAAAGGGUGUGUAGGCGGUUCCCUAAGUUUGGGGUGAAAUCUCCCGGCUCAACUGGGAGGGUGCGCCGAAAACUGGGGGGCUAGAGUACUGGAUGGGAGAGUGGAAUUCCUGGUGUAGCGGUGAAAUGCGUAGAUAUCAGGAGGAACACCUGUGGUGUAGACGGCUCUCUGGACAGUAACUGACGCUGAGACACGAAAGCGUGGGUAGCAAACAGG
Molecule: ribosomal RNA, 253 nt
Filed under: uncultured bacterium
Lineage: Bacteria
Description: partial 16S ribosomal RNA
Rfam family: Bacterial small subunit ribosomal RNA
Source: RNAcentral